This is an RNA transcript of Vigna angularis (adzuki bean), 1720 nucleotides long. RefSeq lists it as uncharacterized. The transcript is spliced from 8 exons. The record is from RefSeq and is a predicted model, not a curated record. Lineage: Eukaryota; Viridiplantae; Streptophyta; Magnoliopsida; Fabales; Fabaceae.
CUCUCCUUUUGCAAUUCCUAAUUCUCUCGUCCUCUUAGCCUCAUCUAAAUUCUCUUUUCCAUCGUCCUAUACUCUUUCCAAAACCCUAGAAAUUGGGAAACCUCAUUCCAUUCAAAUUUAGUGGUUAUAAUAUCAUGUAAAUCGUUAUGGUUAAAUUGAUUGAUUUUUGUGUUAUAUUGAGCAUGUUGUGAUGUAUGGUCUUGGUUGGAAUGCAUAUAUGUUUUAGAGUUCUUGUUUUUCUUUCUAUGUUAGGUAUGUUAGGUACUAGGAACGUAAGCUCGUGUUGAAUCGCGAUUUCUAUAAUCCUGAUUCAAGAGAAAGACAUCAGGAAGUCCAGUUUUAAAAAACAUUGAUUUCAGAGCAGAGCCAACAGAGAGAGAAUUAGAAGCGUGAAACAGAAAUAUAAGUUCAAGAAGUUUGAUAUUUUGGUACAAAAUUUAGAAGCAUACACGAUUAAAGACCGGAGAUUCACGUCUUGAGGUUCGUGAGCGUGUGUAAUAUAUCAGAGAUAAGCUUUUAGAGCUUCACGAGCUUCUUUUCUUUCUGGGGGAAAAUUGACCAGACUUCUAAGCGCCACAUGUCUAGGGAGAAGACAGAUAUAAUUUUGAAAGUAGUUGUAAAGCAUUUCUUAAUUGAGAAAGAGGUCACUUCUACUUUGGUAAUGGACUCCUUGCAUAGUGGAUUGAAGGCUCUUGAAGGCCAGACUAAAAACCAAAAAGCUAAAGUGAAAUGGCUGGAUGCUGAAGAAAUACCAGCACCAAUUGUUCAUGUUGAGAAAGACAUGUUUGUACUGGUGGAUUAUGUUUUACUGCUACUUGAAAGGGCUGCAAUAGAACCAUUGCCUCCUAAAGAUGAAAAGUGCCCUCAAAACCGGACAAAGAAUCACUGCGAGCAUGGUGGCGACGGUACUGGUGCGGCCAGCUCCACUCUCCACUCCUUCUUCUUCUUCUGCACCUUCGUCAAACGGUUGAAGCUGUCGUCAUCCAGCUCUCCUUCAUCGACGACAGUAGUUGCUUCUGGCCUGACCGGCAUCGUUGUGAGCUCCCUCCCUUUCUUCAUUCGAUUUUUUCAUCUGGUGGGAGGGGUUUUGCUCUUCCUUCUUCAUUCUUCCCAAAUCUGGUUCCCUAUGAAGGAUCUAGCGAGGCGUGUCACCGCAUUCGGUAUCGGUCAGAGUAAUCGUCGUGCGAUGCAACAUAGGUGGGAAAGUGAAGAUAAAGAUAUCAAAGAAGGAGUUGGCAUAACUUUAUGAGAAGCAACACCCGAGAGCUUCUGCAGAACAAGUUCUGCUUCGCUUGAUAAAAGCCAGAAAUGAUGUUAAAGUAAAGGCCCUGUAUAACGAGCUUAAUCUUAAGAGAUAAGGCGUUUCUAUGGGGUGGAGCAUGGUGGGGGAUAUGAUGCUUGGAGAAAAACUUCAGCUUUAGCUACCCCUUUUGAUUUUGACAAAGCACAAUCCACAAAGCCAAAAGGUCAUUGUGUGGCUGUGCGAGUGACUAGUGAGGACCCCGAUGAUGGCUUUAAGCCUACGAGUGGCAAAGUGCAGGAGCUUAGCUUUAAAAGCAAGCCAAAUGUGUGGGCAUACUUCUCUGUCAAGGUAUUUGAAAAAGGAAGCAUAUCAAAUGAUGGAAAAAAUGAAGAAGUACCAAAUGACGAAGACAAUGAAAAAGUAUCAAAUGAUGAAGACAAUUGAAGAAGUACAAAACUAUAAUUAUUAUUCAUAACA